Molecule: ribosomal RNA, 1372 nt
Filed under: uncultured bacterium
Lineage: Bacteria
Description: bacterial SSU rRNA
Rfam family: Bacterial small subunit ribosomal RNA
Source: RNAcentral
GAUGAACGCUGGCGGCGUGCCUAAUACAUGCAAGUCGAGCGAACGGACGAGAAGCUUGCUUCUCUGAUGUUAGCGGCGGACGGGUGAGUAACACGUGGAUAACCUACCUAUAAGACUGGGAUAACUUCGGGAAACCGGAGCUAAUACCGGAUAAUAUUUUGAACCGCAUGGUUCAAAAGUGAAAGACGGUCUUGCUGUCACUUAUAGAUGGAUCCGCGCUGCAUUAGCUAGUUGGUAAGGUAACGGCUUACCAAGGCAACGAUGCAUAGCCGACCUGAGAGGGUGAUCGGCCACACUGGAACUGAGACACGGUCCAGACUCCUACGGGAGGCAGCAGUAGGGAAUCUUCCGCAAUGGGCGAAAGCCUGACGGAGCAACGCCGCGUGAGUGAUGAAGGUCUUCGGUUCGUAAAACUCUGUUAUUAGGGAAGAACAUAUGUGUAAGUAACUGUGCACAUCUUGACGGUACCUAAUCAGAAAGCCACGGCUAACUACGUGCCAGCAGCCGCGGUAAUACGUAGGUGGCAAGCGUUAUCCGGAAUUAUUGGGCGUAAAGCGCGCGUAGGCGGUUUUUUAAGUCUGAUGUGAAAGCCCACGGCUCAACCGUGGAGGGUCAUUGGAAACUGGAAAACUUGAGUGCAGAAGAGGAAAGUGGAAUUCCAUGUGUAGCGGUGAAAUGCGCAGAGAUAUGGAGGAACACCAGUGGCGAAGGCGACUUUCUGGUCUGUAACUGACGCUGAUGUGCGAAAGCGUGGGGAUCAAACAGGAUUAGAUACCCUGGUAGUCCACGCCGUAAACGAUGAGUGCUAAGUGUUAGGGGGUUUCCGCCCCUUAGUGCUGCAGCUAACGCAUUAAGCACUCCGCCUGGGGAGUACGACCGCAAGGUUGAAACUCAAAGGAAUUGACGGGGACCCGCACAAGCGGUGGAGCAUGUGGUUUAAUUCGAAGCAACGCGAAGAACCUUACCAAAUCUUGACAUCCUUUGACAACUCUAGAGAUAGAGCCUUCCCCUUCGGGGGACAAAGUGACAGGUGGUGCAUGGUUGUCGUCAGCUCGUGUCGUGAGAUGUUGGGUUAAGUCCCGCAACGAGCGCAACCCUUAAGCUUAGUUGCCAUCAUUAAGUUGGGCACUCUAAGUUGACUGCCGGUGACAAACCGGAGGAAGGUGGGGAUGACGUCAAAUCAUCAUGCCCCUUAUGAUUUGGGCUACACACGUGCUACAAUGGACAAUACAAAGGGCAGCGAAACCGCGAGGUCAAGCAAAUCCCAUAAAGUUGUUCUCAGUUCGGAUUGUAGUCUGCAACUCGACUACAUGAAGCUGGAAUCGCUAGUAAUCGUAGAUCAGCAUGCUACGGUGAAUACGUUCCCGGGUCU